This 451-nucleotide ribosomal RNA is filed under the name uncultured bacterium. RNAcentral describes it as "bacterial SSU rRNA". It matches the Rfam family "Bacterial small subunit ribosomal RNA", at positions 28 to 507 of the family's 1533-position model. The record is from RNAcentral.
GGUGAACGCUGGCGGCGUGCCUAACACAUGCAAGUCGAGCGGUGCAGUUUGAAGCUUCGGUGGAAAGCUGCAUAGCGGCGGACGGGUGAGGAAAACGUAGGAACGUGCCCCUUGGAGUUGGAUAGCCACGGGAAACUGUGGGUAAACCGACAUAGACUCGAGAGAGUAAAGGCCGAAAGGCGCCAAGGGAGCGGCCUGCGGCCCAUCAGGUAGUUGGUAGUGUAAAGGACUACCAAGCCGACGACGGGUAGCCGGUCUGAGAGGAUGGCCGGCCACAAGGGCACUGAGAGACGGGCCCUACUCCUACGGGAGGCAGCAGUGGGGGAUUUUGGACAAUGGGCGAAAGCCUGAUCCAGCGACGCCGCGUGGAGGACGAAGCCCUUCGGGUGUAAACUCCUUUCUUCAGGAAAAGGAUGAUGGUACCUGAGGAAUAAGCCCGGCUAACUACGUG